UCUUACCCAUAAACCUCCACUAGAAACGAAAAGAGUUUAAGGUUUGUCUCAAGACCUCUAAUUUCUCUCUUUACAUGUUCCUAGAUCUCUAUCACAUUAUCUAAUGAAAAGAGAGAGAGAGAGAGAAUCACGAAAAGGAAGAAGAAGAAGCAUGUAAAGAUACAACCAGAAAAGAGAAGACAUGAGGGAUACCUGAGCGUACUACGCGUGCCGACAUGCUCUGUUAUUGUUACUACAUUCUAACCCCUACC
Molecule: long non-coding RNA, 251 nt
Organism: Arabidopsis thaliana (thale cress)
Lineage: Eukaryota; Viridiplantae; Streptophyta; Magnoliopsida; Brassicales; Brassicaceae
Product: other RNA
Exons: 1
Source: RefSeq